UGCGCNCUUACCAUGCAAGUCGAACGCGAAAGUCCCUUCGGGGGCGAGUAGAGUGGCGGACGGGUGAGUAACGCGUAGGAAUCUGCCCAGUAGUGGGGGACAACCAGGAGAAAUCCUGGCUAAUACCGCAUACGCACUACGGUGGAAAGUGGGGGAUCUUCGGACCUCACGCUAUUGGAUGAGCCUAAGUCGGAUUAGCUUGUUGGUGAGGUAAAAGCUCACCAAGGCGACGAUCCGUAGCUGGUCUGAGAGGACGAUCAGCCACACUGGGACUGAGACACGGCCCAGACUCCUACGGGAGGCAGCAGUGGGGAAUAUUGGACAAUGGGGGCAACCCUGAUCCAGCAAUGCCGCGUGUGUGAAGAAGGCCUGCGGGUUGUAAAGCACUUUCAGUAGAGAAGAAAAGCCUAGGGUUAAUAACCCUGAGUCUUGACGUAACCUACAGAAGAAGCACCGGCUAACUCCGUGCCAGCAGCCGCGGUAAUACGGAGGGUGCGAGCGUUAAUCGGAAUUACUGGGCGUAAAGCGCGCGUAGGCGGUUUUGUCAGUCGGAUGUGAAAGCCCCGGGCUUAACCUGGGAACUGCAUUCGAUACUGGCAAACUAGAGUAUAGAAGAGGCAAGUGGAAUUCCGGGUGUAGCGGUGAAAUGCGUAGAUAUCCGGAGGAACAUCAGUGGCGAAGGCGACUUGCUGGUCUAAUACUGACGCUGAGGUGCGAAAGCGUGGGGAGCAAACGGGAUUAGAUACCCCGGUAGUCCACGCCGUAAACGAUGUCAACUAGCCGUUGGGGGUCUUAGUACCUUUAGUGGCGCAGCUAACGCAUUAAGUUGACCGCCUGGGGAGUACGGUC
RNAcentral lists this ribosomal RNA (849 nucleotides) under uncultured bacterium. RNAcentral describes it as "bacterial SSU rRNA". It matches the Rfam family "Bacterial small subunit ribosomal RNA", at positions 43 to 887 of the family's 1533-position model. The record is from RNAcentral.